Long non-coding RNA from Rhinopithecus roxellana (golden snub-nosed monkey), 969 nucleotides. RefSeq lists it as uncharacterized. The record is from RefSeq and is a predicted model, not a curated record. The transcript is spliced from 3 exons. Lineage: Eukaryota; Metazoa; Chordata; Mammalia; Primates; Cercopithecidae.
CCUGUUUUGAGGAGCAAAAACCAGAAUGUCCAGGAAGGCUCUUUGAAGAUGUCUGUGAGUUUGCCUGGGGACAGCUCCUGGAAGGCAGUGUCCCCGCGACUAGGGCGAGCCCCGGACUCCCCACCAUCCCGGACUCCCCAACACCCAGAGGCGCGGCGCCGCGAGCAGGACAAAGUAGCAAAUACAGCACAACCCGCCUGAAACGCGGAAGUGGCCCGGAGACAACAUGGCGGCGUAGGCGUCAGGUGCCCUAACCUCGAGCCGGCGGCCAGGUCACUGAUGUGGGCUGAGUUCAGCUGGACGUGUCUCCAAGCUGAAGACUGGUCCCUGUCUUCUCCAUGUCUCUCACCUUCCUUGGACCAGUGGGUAUCUUUAGGCUGUUUUCUCAACUGUAAACAUCUUAUGACCAUGGGUCGUGACUGGCAAGGAAUGUGCCUUAGUCUCAAGAUGGAGCUGAACUUAAAAUGGUGUCACUCUGGCCUUCCUAGGCCCCGGCUUCCCUAAUAAUGGCAGAAGCAAAAACACAAGUUCAACUGCACAAACACAUUGUAAACCUUUGCUUGCAUCAGACCUGCCAAUAUCCUAUGGCCAAAGUAAAUGCACAUGGCUAAGCCCAGCAGAAAUGAAGCAGGGAAGUAUAUUCCUUCUGUAUGGGAGAGGGGAGUGUGAAAGGAAAAUAUUUUGGACCCCAAAAAUAUUUUCCUUUUUAUGAAGGAAAACUCAAGCUGGAAACUGCAUAAGGCAAACCUGCCUCUCAUUCUAUUUGAAGUUAUCCCUCUGCUCACUGAGAUAUAUGCACAUCUUACUUGCCUGCUUUGGAAACGCUAAUCAGAAACUCAAAAGAAUGCAACCGUUUGUGGCUCACUUAUCUAUGACCUGGAAUCCCCCUCUGUGCUUCGAGUCUUCCUGCCUUUGCUUCAAAUUGUCCUGCCUUUCCAGACCCAACCAAUGUAAUUCUUCUAUUGAUUG